This 73-nucleotide transfer RNA is filed under the name Candidatus Amphirhobacter heronislandensis. RNAcentral describes it as "Betaproteobacteria bacterium AqS2 tRNA". It matches the Rfam family "tRNA". Rfam says of the family: Transfer RNA (tRNA) molecules are approximately 80 nucleotides in length. Their secondary structure includes four short double-helical elements and three loops (D, anti-codon, and T loops). Lineage: Bacteria; Pseudomonadati; Pseudomonadota; Gammaproteobacteria; Candidatus Tethybacterales; Candidatus Tethybacteraceae. The record is from Rfam by way of RNAcentral.
GCUGCAGUAGCUCAGCCGGUAGAGCAGCUGUUUCGUAAACAGCAGGCCGGGGGUUCGAGUCCCUCCUGCAGCA